AUCAAAAUCACUGUUUAUUAGAUACAUCCUCAAUGAAUACAUGCAUGCAUUUGUUUAUGCAUUUUGUCAUAUACAUAAACAGCUUGUAAGAGCUGCAGAUCUCUUCCCUGAAGCCUUUUUAAGCCCUCCCCUUCUAAUCCCGCCCAGACUUUUUGUGACUGUCCAAUUAAAAAUUUCCCAUUGCAGCUCAAUGAAAAAUCUUUGCAAGGCAGGUGCUCUGGACAAUUGCUGCC
Non-coding RNA from Pelobates cultripes (western spadefoot toad), 233 nucleotides. Lineage: Eukaryota; Metazoa; Chordata; Amphibia; Anura; Pelobatidae. The record is from the annotation of a GenBank genome assembly.